CUUGAUCGAACCCAACCACAACGGCCGCUCGCGAUCCUGACCAUAGGUCGCCAACACCGCCUGCGCCUC
This 69-nucleotide antisense RNA is filed under the name Nocardia terpenica. Its description in RNAcentral is "ASpks TB sRNA". It matches the Rfam family "ASpks TB sRNA". Lineage: Bacteria; Bacillati; Actinomycetota; Actinomycetes; Mycobacteriales; Nocardiaceae. The record is from Rfam by way of RNAcentral.